GUUAUUGCUUCGCCCAGCUGAUCCGCGGAUCACAGCGUAGAAGCUCAGAACAGCUGAUCGUGACGUAACGAAGCGCGAGGCCACGCCCCCGACUCCGCCCACAACGUGUCCCUGAGCCAAUCACGAUGUUACACAAGAAACUGCUGAUCUCCUGGGAUUUUCACCCACAGCGGUCUCUAGAGAUUACACAGAAUGGUGCGAAAAACAAAAAACAUCUAAUCUGCGGGUGGAAACACCUUGCUGAUGAGAGAGGUCAGAGGAGAACAGGCAGACUGAUUUGAGUUGACAGGAAGGCUAAAUGUAAUAAGCACUCUUUACAACCGUGGUGAGCAGAAAAGCAUCUCAGAACACAUGACGUGGCAAUCCUCGAGGCGGAUGAGCUUCAACAGUCGAAGACCACAUCGAGUUCCUCUCCUGUCAGCCAAGAACAGGAAUCUGUGGACACAGAAGAUUUGGAAAAAGACCAGGCGAUGAUUUUCCCGUCUUCAGCGGUUGUUGCAUAAGCAUAAGCAUACUUAUUAACUUCAUGAGAGAGAAAAAAGAGAGGCUGGUGAGGAAACAACUGUUUAUAACUGCAAGAACGUUGGUAAGAACAGGAACUAACUCGUCUCACGGGUGUUCCACAACACUAAAUGUAACUAUAAACAGAUAAAAAAAGUAUGACGUGUCAUUCUAGCAAGUCUCUGUGUUAUAAGGUCAUACUACAUACUAAGCAUACGACACACUAAUAAUGUGUUAAUUAAAUAUUCAUAUAAUUUACACUAAUAAUUCCACAGAUACACACGUACAUUACUGAAUUAAAGUAUGCUAAUGGCCACAAGAGAGUAAUUUAUUAGCAAUGAUCGACAUUUUCCCCCUCUGGUUUUUCUUAAACAGCAGGAAGUCAUUCAUAAAUUCACUCUUUUAUUUUACACUGUAAGUUCAUUUGGCAUAAAAAUGACUCUACGGACAAUACACUGGUGUAAUCCAACGUCAGCACAGUUGUAGCCCAUUUCACUAAAGAUAUUUUUUCCCCCAAAAGUUAGCAUAUUGAAUUGUUUGUCACAUUGUAUUAUUGACUGAGUAUUGAACUUUGAAUACUUUGCACAGCACUACACUACACUACAUGUGUUUCUUCCUAACCUUUAUAAGCUUUACAUUUAUCAGCAUGUUCUUAUCAUAGUUUCUGUAUUUAAUGAUAGUCAGAAUAUACAGUAUAUAACAUUAUUUUGCAUCGUAUAUGUAUAUUGAUCUGCACUGAACUGAAAUAAAGAAAUGAAAUAUGA
Molecule: long non-coding RNA, 1265 nt
Organism: Pangasianodon hypophthalmus (striped catfish)
Lineage: Eukaryota; Metazoa; Chordata; Actinopteri; Siluriformes; Pangasiidae
Exons: 2
Source: RefSeq, a predicted model, not a curated record